GUGCUUCCUCCAGCAGCACAUACACUAAAUCAGAAUGACACAGAGAUUAGCAUGAUCCUGUGCAAGGGUGACAGGCAGAUUUGUGAAACGGUCCACAUUUUU
Hippopotamus amphibius kiboko is the source of this 102-nucleotide small nuclear RNA. NCBI's taxonomy places the organism in Eukaryota, Metazoa, Chordata, Mammalia, Artiodactyla, Hippopotamidae. The record is from RefSeq and is a predicted model, not a curated record.